This 10076-nucleotide long non-coding RNA is filed under the name Homo sapiens (human). RNAcentral describes it as "HSALNT0191090". Lineage: Eukaryota; Metazoa; Chordata; Mammalia; Primates; Hominidae. The record is from RNAcentral.
CAUCAGUCUUCCAAAGUGCAGGGAUUACAGGCAUAAGCCACCAAGCCCAGGUAAAACCAUUUUUAAAAAGAAAGUGAAUUCCCUCAGAAUCCCACCCCAAAGAAACCACACAUAUUUUUUGGUUCAGUUCAAUCACAAGAAGCAAACUGCUGGACAAGCGUCAUUUUUCCCCCAUGAAGACUGUUUUGUCUUGGAAGGUGAUCCUCUUCCUUCAGCUGUAAUGUGUCAAAAUUUGUGAUGUAGAUUUUGCUAUUCCCCAAAAUACACAGAAAAACGCUGGCUUAACUAUACAUACACAAGUCGUGCAUCUACUUCACUGUUAUGUAUUCUAACACAAAAUAAGAAUUAACUGAAACAGUAGCUGCCUUUGUGGUGGUGAAAUGUUCCAAUUUACCUGAUGAUUAAACUGAGACAUUCUGAUUUCAUUCUUCUUAAAUAUUAUUGCCUUAUAAAUUUAAUGACUGAAGCAGUAAUGAAAACAUAGCAGCUACUGUUUCUGUGAUGAUGGAAACAUUCAUAAGUCAUUUUCUAAAAUAUGCAUACUACAAAAAUAAAUGGAAAAUGCUUGGAUGAUUUUUAUGUAAAUAUUUUUCAUUCACCCACAUAUCAAGUCUAUAAACUCAUUUAACAAUUAAAUGCUGAACUAAAUAUAAAAUGCAAAAUUAUUUUACAAAUUAAUUUAUUUAACAGCAUACAGGAACUUCUGCAAGUAUUAUAAAUCAAAUGGUGUUCCAUGUUACAAAAUUUGUAAGUAAGAUUUAUAAAUAGAGUAUGGACAUUUAAAUUAAUGACAUCCACGUACAAAUCUUUAGACGUAAUACAAAUUUAAAACAUUUACUUUACUUUUAGUCUAUUCCACCUAUAUAGAAAUACCUAACGUAGUAUUAUAAACUAACCAAAACAAGCUAAGUGGGAAUCUACAAUGAUAAAGUUCAUUUAAAACUCACAUAAAAGAAAAAAAAUAGAAUAAAGUUGAUAAACUAAAAUUUAAAGAAUACAUAUAUAUGCAAACUUCAGGUAGAGGUUCACAAGAAACAUUCAAUUAACUUGGAUAUAAGUAACCACUGAAACAGUCGGUAAUGAAAGUAUAAAUGACAAGAAACCACUUCAAUAAUAAAGUGAUUUAAGAGUCAAGAGGGCAGAAGGUUUUUUAAAAUUUUUUUUCAGUUUGAACAUGUUCAUAGGGCACAGUUUAGUGAUAUUUUGAAAUAAAAAUAACUGAAAAAUACUUUUUGCUCUACAAUUAAGAGUUACUUCUGCCACUGCUAUAAAUUUUUCUAUUAUGUCCUUUCCUAGGUUGUAUCUUAAGAGCAUCAGUACAUAUAUGCAUUCACACUGCCUAGCAGUAAUAACUUAAAAUUUUAAAACUGCAAAAGAAAAAAAAAUACAAUCCAGACUUCUCUUUUAUAUAUAUAGUUUCUAUAUGCCUGUAUCUUUCAGAUAACUUCAGCCAUUACUAUUGUUAUCUUUUAUUGCAUCUUCAUCUUAUGUUGAUGAAGCUAUUUAGUGAAACUAUUUAAUGGGGAAAAAAUACAAAAUGGCAGCUUUCAAAUGUUUUAUUUUUAUUAUCUGCACUACACUAUUAAAAAACAGGUUUAUGUAUUAGAGAGAGACAAGGCAUAUGUUCUAACCUGAAAUAAUAAUUACUGGGAAAUUAAUAAAUCUAACUGCAAAAGAAUGCUAUCUCCCUAAAUUUUCUGUUGCGCUGGAAGGGAUAAAAAGUCAUUAAGAGGGAAAAACUAUUUAAAGUCAUAGCAAAACAAAAAUAUUCAACUCUUCCAUAAAACAUAUCACAUACACUGCAUCUUUGUGUCAUUAUCACUCCAGUGGAGAAUUAUACUAUUUUUAUAUAGAGAAUCCCAUUUGUAAAAUUGCAACACACAUCUUUUCCCAGGACUAAUGCACUCUUUUGUUUGAUUAUACUUUAUAGAUAGAUCUUUUCUAUUAAUAAAUCUAAUUUUCACCAUACAGACAUAAAAUAUGGGGGAUAGUCUAGCAGUUUUUAUUUCUAUUUCUAAACACUUUACAUUUUAUGCACUUGGAAAUACAAAUUUUACAGUCUUAAACGAAAGUGAAUUUGAAGGCAAUACAACCCAUUUCCAAUAAUCCAAUUCCAUAUUAUACUCUCAAAUGUCUAAGUAGGCAACUACAUCAACAAAGAUAUCAAAAAGAAGCUUAAAAGUGACAAAUACAUUCAACGUCCAUGUUUUCAAUGUAUCAUUUGGUAAAAUCUGUAAUGUCAAAGCCACACAAUUACUUGCUUUAGCUAUUAAUUAUAAAAGAAAGGCCUAUGUAAACAGAUGUUAAAACAACUAAGAUGAUAAAUGGAAUCUACACCUUUUUAAUAAAGUCUGUAAACUAAAGUGAGCACUAAGUAAAAUUUCAACACACAGAGAAGUACUUGUAUUUUAAGAUACUAUAUCAAGCCAUUAUUAACAACUCAAAUUAUAACUGUUUCUGUUAGAAAUUUAUCUAUGCACAUUUGUUAGAAUUAGUAUUUUAAAUUCAUGGUAAAUUCAUCUUUUAAGAUUUAAAUAAAUACUUGACAGGGCACUUUUAUAGAUUUUCACAUUAAUAUACUGAAUUAAAAGGAUUCUCAUAAUUUUAGAGAUGCACUACUAACUCAACGAAAUAAAAUUCACUUUUCUCUAUCUGAAAAUUUCUCCUUAAUAAGAGGAAUGGAAAUGAGGUGGGCAAGAGAAAUAAUUAUCUACAUAUGAGUUAACUCUAAAAUCAAAAUUCCUUCUUGUGUUGACUAGAACAUAUUACAUAAAAACAAUUCUAGUUAUUGUAGAUAUUUACAAGAAGUUCUUGCUACCAAAACAUUUCAUAUUUUCUUCUACCUCUGUACAUAGUACUUACCUCAUUUUAAGUAAAGCAUUUUAUUACUCUAUAAAACACAUACAUAAUUGCUCUUACAACCCAGUAAAAUAGAAAUAAACUUAAUCACAUUCAAAGAAAAAUGAGGUUUGUUCCCAAAAGAUUUACAAAAUGAACAUCUCAAAAUAACCUGUUAUUUAUAAUUCAUGGAGAGUCAAAACAUGCUACCACAAAUUCAUAAAAUUUGGAUAGCAUAAAUGGCACCCUUACCCCUUUUUGGUUAUUAGGUUUCUUUAAACAACGUUAACUAAAUAUUCAUUCAAGACAGAAUUUACUCAAAACAAUCUAUUUUACAAACUAAAACAAUGGUAGUAAAUUUAACACUGAGAUGACGGUGAGAGAGCAAGAUGACUCACACUGGCAUUGAAUUUUUUUUCAACAGGGAACAUUAAUCAUUUGUAAACAAAACUAUAUUCUUAAACCACAGUGAGCAAAACACACUAUACAUCCAUUCAAGGGAUCACUUCCUACUCCCUCUUGUAACUUCAAUUAAGUCAGCUGUGUAGUGAGACAGGUUUUGUGAAUACUCAAAGAAAAAUCAGAGCUAAAGCAAUGAAAGCUAGCAUACAUAUCCAGAUGAAGCAGAGCAGUUAGGAUACAUGGGAAAACAAGGAAACAGGGCUGGGAGCUAUAACGCAGACCUCAGAUAACCUAAGAGCUGCAGAAACAAUUUUAAAAUCUUAUUAUAACCAGUAUCAUUCACCAGGUAAUUAAGAGAAUUUAAUUUUCACAUAAGCCUCAAAGCAACACUAAGAAGAAAAUGAAACAUCUUUAACAUGUAAGAAUUUUUUUUAUUCUUUUGGCUUUUUUUUUUUUUUUCAAAAUUAACACAAAGCUAAUAAGCUGAAUACACAAUGCAAAGCAUCCUAAAUCUUGGGCAAUAACAAAAUCUAAGAUCCUAAGAUCAUGAUAUUUAAGGUAGGAAAAAAGUAAUCAGACUAGACUGGGCGCGGUGGCUCACGCCUGUAAUCAAUCCCAGCACUUUGGGAGGCAGAGAUGGGUGGAUCACCUGACGUCGGGAGUUUGAGACCAGCCUGACCAACAUGGAGAAACCCCAUCUCUACUAAAACUACAAAAUUAGCCGGGCGUGGUGCCACAUGCCUGUAAUCCUAGCUACUCCGGAGGCUAAGGCAGGAGAAUUGCUUGAACCCAGGAGGUGAAGGUUGUGGUGAGCUGAGAUUGUGCCACUGCACUCUAGACUGGGCAACAAGAGCAAGACUCCAUCUCAAAAAAAAAAAAAAAAAAAAAGUAAUCAGAUAGCAAAGGCAAGUUAUUUAAUCCAGACCCCAUACCCAAUGCUUAAAAAUUGUCAUGGAUGAUUUGAGAAUUGUAAAACCUCAUAAAAUAGAGAGAGGAAAAGCCUGAAUAAAGAGUAUUUUAAAAAAACAUAAUUUGGUUUCAGUAAACAAAGAAAAGCUGAAUUGUUAACACAAAUUUGCUGAGUAGGGAUGUUCCAAAGAAGUGACAAGAGGAACGUAACCUUUUAAGUAACUCAACUAUGAAACUAAAAUUAUUUCAGUAAAAAAUGUACAAUCGUAAAGCACUGAACUACUUUUAUUUUGCUCAGAGUGGUCUGAGAAUAGAGGUAGAAAUUACAGAAUAUGAAGCACAACGUAUUUACAUACUGAAAUUUACAAUAUUGGUAUUUUCUCAUUAAAAUAUUAUCUAUUUGAACUUAGAUAUUGAAUACUUUUAGAAAAACCAAUACAUUUUAAAAUGAGAGAAUGCAAUUAACAUUACCAACAGUUCAAACACAAAAAAAAAUUAAGAUGGGACAGACAUUAACAGCUUGCCAAGAUCAUUACGUUUCCAGUUAAAAAGUUAAGAACUUGCCCUUUUAGCCAUUCAUCAUCACUUUAAUAGAUUACAUUAGUAUUUUAUUUGUAUACAGCCUUACUAGUGACAUUCACUUUAGCUUUCAAAUCACUCAGUCCAUUUGGUCCAUUUAAGAUUUACAUGAAAGCUCAAAAGGACUCAUAUUUUAAAACUUCUAAAAAGGUCAACAGACCUUAUUAUGAUGGUGAUCAAAUUUGCAGAUAGCUUUUGUUUUAAAGAUUUACUUGAAUAUAUUUAAUCCCAGUCCCCACCCCUUUAUUCAAGUCUACAUCCACAAUACUGUUUGAUAUAGCAAACGUACAAUAAUCCAGGAUAACAGAAUUUUUUGCACUAGAAAUGCUUAUGUAAAAUUUUUCUUGGAUGAAGGCACAUACAGUAUUACAACUCAAUUCUGAUUAAUGUACAAACAAAACAUGGAAAUUCUGGUAUGGUACAUCAGUGAUUAAGAAAAAUGUCAACAAUAGUUUGCACAUUAGGAAUUUGUAGUUUAUGUCUGAAUGUAAUGAAACUCAAGUCAUGAUAUAUUUAGGUGUACCCAUUACUAGAAUGUAAUGUUAGCUAACUCAAAUAAGAUUAACAAUGGACUUUGUUUACUUGGUUGACUAUGCUAGUUUUACUAAAACCAGUAGAAAUUGUAAUUAGUUAACUUUGGGCUUAAAUUGGUUUAGAGGCCCCUUGAUGGGCACAUCCAAUUUUGUAGAUGAAUUCAAGUUUCAUUAUCAUGCCUUUACUAACAAGAAGCUUGCUGAUAACUUAUAAAGUCCAAAAAAAUAGGUAACUUACAGAACCUGUACCCUUCUAUAAUGGAAAUGACUGACAUAGGUAAGCAUUUCAACUAAUAACCCAGUCACAAUCCAGUUUAAGCAACUGAUGGAUAUUGAGAAUUUUUUCAUUAAGAUGGGAUCAGAUGUAUUUAACUCAGGGGAAAAAAGUGCUACAUCUUUAAAAUUUAGUGUUUAGAUUUACAUAAUACAACAUUCAAUUUUUACAUUCAAAAACAAUAUCAAUUUCAAUAAGCUUAGUUUUAAAAGUAAAAGGUUUUUUUGCCUCAUAUUAAAAGAAUGUUUUGAGAUUUAUAUUAAAUUUUGUAAUACAUGGAAAACUACAAAUUAAAGUUUUGAUAUUCAAUCUGCAUAUUCAAAAUGCAAAGUAUCAAAACCAGCCUUUUAACUCAAAAAGCCCUUAAAAUUGUAAAUAGUGUAGGAGCUUAUAUCUGUGUUCCAUAAAAAUAGCAUGCUUAUUUUCUAGGCAUUUAAGGACUUCAUUUGCGUAUCUGUUAUGGUUAAAGAAAUUGGUAUUCUGUCACAGAAUUACAUACACUUGAUAAAACCUUUAAUUUUGCCCAUAACAAUUUAAAUACUAACAAUUACCAUGACUGAAUUUUCAGUAAGUUUCCCAUGAUUACUGAAAAUAAUCACAUAAAGAGUAUUUACCUAUGAGGGGUUUGUUUAGCCUUAAUUUAAUUUGAAUAUGCCAACCAACAUAUAAAGAAAAAAUAUUUUAAUUUACAGAAUAACCUUUGUGUCACAUGCAUAAGCCUUAUAGUGCCCUCCCCCAGCUCUUCACAUGAAUAAAUGCUAUUAACAAAUAUAAAAAAUAAAAUUACAUGUGAAAAUGAAGCAUAAACAGACAACUCUUCCCACUUCAUGAAAAAUGUACACAAGAAAGUUUUAAAAUACAGAAAAAAAGACAAUGAUUAUGAUUUAUGAAUGAAACAUCAAAGAAAAUUAUUUCAAGGUAUUCUAAACUUGGGUAUAUGGCUUGACACAAUUUAAAAUUUUUAGAUAUAAAUCAGUGCACCCUAAACCCAUUUUAAUUGAUUAACUUUUACAUCUUCUUUGCAAAUUAAAGGAUACUGUUUCUUUUAAAAACAAAAAGCAGAUGUCAGGAUAGUGUCUCUUCUAAAAAAAAAAAUUUUUUUUUUAAAGGAAAAUUCUCUUUGAAUGUUGAGAAAACACCCUCCUGUAUUAUAAACUAUUAUUGUGUUAGAUUUUCUCAUAAAUUUUUAGGGACAAAUAAAACUAGUUCAAAAAUAGUAACUUUCCAUUUAUUUUUAAAAAUCCAAACACAUAACAUAUAUGUGAAAUAACUCCCUGUGUUUUGUAUUUUAAAUUGCAUGCAACCUAUGUAUGUGAUACAAGAACCCCAAUUUUUAGAUUUUAGAAGUACACAAUGAGUCCUCUUGAUUAUUUCCUUGCUUUGUUAAGACCAUUAACUAUUUGAAACCUGAAAGUGAUAACUCAGCAAUAAAAUAUUCAUAAGAUAAAGGGUCAAAAUUUUUACCUGUCAUUACUUACCUAUAAUUUGUUUCAGAUGUUUCCAGAAGAUUAAAUUCACAAGUAGUUGGACCAUUUAAAAUGUAGGUAUAUACUGUAUAAACAGUAGCCUUGGAGUUAUAGUUACUGUUAAGAAUACACACACAUUUAACAGGGAACAAGGAAUACCCACCUUCUAACGAUGACGAUAUUCGCGCUCUCGGUCACGCUCUCGGUCACGGUCUCGGUCACGAUCCCGGUGCCUCUCUCGUUCUCUGCUUCUCUCUCUGUAAUAAUCGUCAUGACGGUCUCUACUACGGGAUUUAUGACGUCGACUCUUUUCUCGUGAUCUACUAUGGUCCCUCUCUCUUGAUCGUUCACGUCUUCUAAAAGAAAUUACUGGAUUAAUGCUCUCCAUAAUUAGAUAGCCUAAAAAUAUUCAAUUUUUUGAUGUCUAAAAAAACUUAGGCAGCAAAAAUUCUUUGUAAAUCUGGUUUAAACUUACUAUCCUGAGCUGCCAAUAACGACUUACCAACUCACCAGGUAAGCAUGAACCAGAAAUUUCACUAUUAAAAACAUUAACAAAAAAAUCAGCAACCAGACACAUCACAGAAAUGCAUCACAUCAUCUAUUAAACUAGUAGCCUAAAACAGAUGUGUAGUAUUUACUGAAUGCACAAAUAGAAAGGUAAAGGGAAAAUUUCAAAGCACUCGUGUUUCAAGCUAAAGAACAUCUACAAUAUGGUUUUUUUAGAUAUAAAAGUCAUGAAAUCACAACACACAAUGGGGCUUAAAUACAUGAAUAUGACAACCUCUUAACAUAUGGUUCAUGAGCAGCAUCCAACACAAAGAAACCUUCUAAUACGCAUGUUAUAUUCAGGGGAGGAGAAGAGGCAUGGGAGAGGGCUAACAAUUAUGACCAGUAGCAAGAAUAGAUAUAGUAUUCACAUUGUAUUUAAUAAGUAGAAAUGUUUCAUGAACUGCGAUUUUUUAAAAACAAAUAAUUUAACCAAAGCUUACUACCCAAAAGACUUCUAUAAAUUCUGCUAAAUUCACAGUAAGGAAAUAAUAACUGUCUACGAAAUAAUAUUUAUGUCUUGUAUUUCUGCACCAGACAGCUAAGCUUAGCAAACAUUAGGUGCUAAAAUCCUUGAUCAAGGCCUAAGUUAUUACUUUGUUUUUUCAAGAUAGGGUCUCUCUCUCUCUCUCUGUCACCCAGGCUGGAGUGCAGGGACAUGAUCACAGUUCAUUUCAUCCUCGACCUCUGAGGCUCAAGCAACCCUCCCACCACAGCCUCCCAAGUAGCUGGGACUAUAGGCAUGCACCACCAGGCCCAGAUAUUUUUAAAAUUUUUUUGUAGAAAAACUCCUUAUGUGGCCAAGGCUGGUCUCAAACUCCUGGGGCUCACGUGAUCCUCCUGCCUUGGUCUCCCAAAGUGUUGGGAUUAAAAAAUUAUUACUUUGGACUUCAAAACUUAAAAAGAUGAUACAAGAUAACUAUAUCUAUGACAAAUUUGUUUAGACACAAAGAUUCUUACACCGGGUCAAAAAGGUAAUAAUUACAAAACUGGGGACCAUGUCAAAGGCAAGCUCUUUUCUCUUACAGAUUACUACCAGAUAGAGUACACUAAAGACAUAUCUAAGAAUACCAAGUGAAGAUUAGGUCUGCCUUUCAAAAAUAUAUAAAAUUUCAAAGUUAGCAGCAAUGCUAAAAAGAAAAAAAAAGGAACUACCUAAAAGAUAGAUCAUUCAUUCAUUCAGUCACUCCCUCAUUCGAGAAAUUUUUAUUUAGCACUCAUUCUGUACCACACACUCUGUAGGCAUUAGAAAUAUUAUAACGAGCAUGGCUGAGCACACUGGCUCAUGCCUAUCAUCCCAACACUUUGGGAGGCCAAGCUGAGAGGAUUACUUGAGCCCAGGAGUUCAGGACCAGCCUGGGUAACUUAACAAGACCCAUCUCUUAAAAGAAAAGAAAUAUAGUAAGCAGGAUAGAUAAAUCCCCUGCCAUCAUUCAACAUGUGUUCUAAUGAGGAAAAAUAUGCCUUAUAACAAGUAAGAAUUGAUUAUGGUAAGUACUAUGGAAGAAAUAAAAAGAACAAUACGACAGACUAACUUGGGAGAAGCCCCACCCUAAGAAGUUAGAAUGAGACGUGAAGAAUAAGGAGCCAGCUAUGUGAAGAGACAGGGAAAACUGCUCCCAGCAGAAGGAAUAUAAAGUGAGGUGGUCAAACAUUUGGUGUACCUAAAGAAAAGGAGAAAUAUGGAGAAAUACUCACUGGAGAACAGUGAGUAAGGGGAGAGGUACAAAAUGAGGCUAAAAAGAUAGGCAGGGGCUUUAUCACACAGUCCCUCAAUCUUUACAGUCUUGCUUUAAGACUGAGUAGGAGCCUUUAAAGGGUUUUAAGCAAGCAACUAACAUUUAGAGUUAAAAAAAAAAACCACUCCAGCUGCUAAAUAAUCAGUAAGUAAAAGCAAAGUCCUCCUUUUAAAGUCUCACAGUAUUUUUUCCAUUUGUAAACUAACAGUUUUUUUAAAUGGAAAUGAGACAGGAAAGUUUUACCUUGAUCCAGAACCAUAAGACUUGGACUCAAUUCCAUGAAGGCAAUCUUGCAAAGAACUAAUAAGAACUUUGCAACGAUCAUCAGCAGAUACUUUGGAUUGUUUAAUUAAAGAAAUUGCAGUUACCAGUGUCUCAAUAGCACUCCCAUAAUCACCUGUGAGGGAAAGGAAAGGGUUUGAAGUCAAACAAAUUUUGUUUUCAAAACACCAUCAAACCACUUGGGAUAAGAGUGAUAAGGCAUUUUACAAAAGUACUGUGCUAUAAAAUAACUAUGCAAGACAAUGUCUUCUUUCAGUGUUUCACCAUUUGCAAAAGCCUUUCAUGCUCAUGAUAUUGACUCAACUUAUUAUACGUGUGUGAAGCACAUUAUCAUUUUGCAAAUAUAAGAAUAAAUAAGGUGUCAUGAGGCCCCUGAACCAUUAAAUGUCAAGGGUAAGACUUAAAUCUAUACCAAAUAACUUAAAAUUUGGAUUUUCCCCACUACACUGUGACACACAACUUUUUUCAAUGCUUUUUAAAUAAAUCGUAGGUAAUGAUUUGGGAAUAU